RNAcentral lists this ribosomal RNA (326 nucleotides) under uncultured Chloroflexota bacterium. Its description in RNAcentral is "bacterial SSU rRNA". It matches the Rfam family "Bacterial small subunit ribosomal RNA", at positions 28 to 351 of the family's 1533-position model. Lineage: Bacteria; Bacillati; Chloroflexota. The record is from RNAcentral.
GAUGAACGCUGGCGGCGUGCCUAAUACAUGCAAGUCGAACGGAGAGAUUGUAGCAAUACUUUCUCUUAGUGGCGAACGGGUGAGUAACGCGUUGGUGACCUGCCCCGAAGAGGGGGAUAACAGUCCGAAAGGAUUGCUAAUACCCCAUACGGCCAUCGAGAUUAGAUGCUCGAUGUCCAAAGGAGAAAUUCGCUUCGGGAGGGGCCUGCGUCCCAUCAGCUAGUUGGUAAGGUAACGGCUUACCAAGGCGACGACGGGUAGGGGACCUGAGAGGGUGGCCCCCCACAAUGGAACUGAAACACGGUCCAUACACCUACGGGUGGCAG